This 464-nucleotide ribosomal RNA is filed under the name uncultured Flavobacteriaceae bacterium. RNAcentral's name for it is "bacterial SSU rRNA". It matches the Rfam family "Bacterial small subunit ribosomal RNA", at positions 40 to 497 of the family's 1533-position model. The record is from RNAcentral. Lineage: Bacteria; Pseudomonadati; Bacteroidota; Flavobacteriia; Flavobacteriales; Flavobacteriaceae.
CGGCAGGCUUAACACAUGCAAGUCGAGGGGUAACAGGGAUUGCUUGCAAUCCGCUGACGACCGGCGCACGGGUGCGUAACGCGUAUGCAACCUACCUUCUACAGGGGAAUAGUCAAUAGAAAUGUUGAAUAAUACCCCAUACGAUCUUUGAAUAGCAUUAUUUAGAGAAGAAAGUUCCGGCGGUAGAAGAUGGGCAUGCGUCCUAUUAGUUAGUUGGAGAGGUAACGGCUCCCCAAGACAUCGAUAGGUAGGGGUCCUGAGAGGGAGACCCCCCACACUGGUACUGAGACACGGACCAGACUCCUACGGGAGGCAGCAGUGAGGAAUAUUGGACAAUGGAGGCAACUCUGAUCCAGCCAUGCCGCGUGCAGGAAGACUGCCCUAUGGGUUGUAAACUGCUUUUAUACAGGAAGAAAUGUACCUACGUGUAGGUAUUUGACGGUACUGUACGAAUAAGGAUCGGC